RNAcentral lists this ribosomal RNA (295 nucleotides) under uncultured bacterium. RNAcentral describes it as "partial 16S ribosomal RNA". It matches the Rfam family "Bacterial small subunit ribosomal RNA", at positions 29 to 334 of the family's 1533-position model. The record is from RNAcentral.
AACGAACGCUGGCGGCAUGCUUUACACAUGCAAGUCGAACGAGUAUGGAUCUAGCUUGCUAGGGACCCAGCUAGUGGCAAACAGGUGAGUAACGCGUGGGAAUCUACCUAAUAGUAUGGAAUAGCUGUUGGAAACGACGAUUAAUACCAUAUACGCCCUUCGGGGGAAAGAUUUAUCGCUAUUAGAUGAGCCCGCGUUAGACUAGCUUGUUGGUGGGGUAAUGGCCUACCAAGGCAACGAUCUAUAGCUGGUCUGAGAGGAUGAUCAGCCACACUGGGACUGAGACACGGCCCAG